RNAcentral lists this ribosomal RNA (285 nucleotides) under uncultured bacterium. RNAcentral describes it as "partial 16S ribosomal RNA". It matches the Rfam family "Bacterial small subunit ribosomal RNA", at positions 549 to 832 of the family's 1533-position model. The record is from RNAcentral.
AAUUAUUGGGCGUAAAGAGCACGUAGGUGGCUCUGUAAGUCAGCUGUGAAAGCCUUCUGCUUAACGGAAGAACAGCAGUUGAAACUACAGUGCUUGAGUGCGGGAGGGGAGAGUGGAACUUCUGGUGGAGCGGUGAAAUGCGUAGAUAUCAGAAGGAACGCCGGCGGCGAAAGCGGCUCUCUGGCCCGUAACUGACGCUGAGUGUGCGAAAGCUAGGGGAGCAAACGGGAUUAGAUACCCCGGUAGUCCUAGCCGUAAACGAUGGGCACUAAGUAGAGGGGUUUU